GCCCCCAGUCCCAGCCGGGGGAGAGAGGAGGGAAAUUCCACUCUGUCUAACCUGCUGCUGCUGCUGCUGGUGCUGGAAGUGCUGGGAGUGCUGGGAGUGCUGGGAGUGCUGUUGGUGUAGCUUUGGUGGUGGGAGUCCACAGGACCCUGAGCUGGUCUCCACUUUGAUGCUCUUCAUCCAGGUCCAACUCCAGUUGAGAAACCCUUUCCUGCAAAAUGAAUGAACGUGAGCGUUGGUCUCGGUCUCCGCCUCCAGAUCAUGAACCUGGUUCUCCAGCAUCUUCGCCCGGAGCUCAGCCUCAUCUCUUUCCCUCCGACACUGCCGGAUUUCCUCCUCACGGCGUGACACCUAAAACAAAAUAAUUACACAUUAUUCAAAACAUUAAAAAUAACUUUUUUUACAUCAUUUCUUAUUGAUAAUAAAAAUAACAAUAAUAACUGCUCUUAAUCGUGACACAUUUGAUCCCUGAAGAUCAGUAAAACUCGUUGGGCCUCAGUGUCUCAUUAAAGGACCCGCAGCUUUCUUUAAGUACCACUGCAGUUAUGAUGUAUUAAACCGUGCACUCAUGUUGAACAUCCAUGUCACUGUUAUACAUGACGCCUACUUCAAAUCAAGUCUUAUUAUGUAGUGAUGAUUGACAAUUUAGCUGCUGCUUAGCUAAAUGAUUACAUGGUUCUCCGGAGUGACUAAUGAAUCCAACAUAGCUACUGUACUGUUUACCUCAGCAGCAGAGCCCCCAGAGCUACAAACCUGCCCCCACUCCAUCAUGCUUAUACAAUGAAAAUUAAUCAUCUGGCCUAAUUUCUCGCCCAAACAAAUAUCUGGCCAUUAGCUCGGAAUUAUUACAUAUUUCAUCUUGUAAAUACUUGGGUUAAGCUAAUUUAAGCAACGGAGCUGAAGCAGAGCAUGCAAAGACUUAUUAAUACGUGUAAUGGGAUAAUGGCACAGUCUCCCUCAGGGCCUGGAUAUCCAUGCUUGUAAGAGUUUAAGUGAAUUAAUGUGAUGAUCAUUCAAUGAAAUAGAUUCAGGGAAUGAAAAUUAUUUAUCGCUGUUUUUUUUCUGCCUUCUUGUCCUGAUCUCAACAUC
Molecule: long non-coding RNA, 1086 nt
Organism: Limanda limanda (common dab)
Lineage: Eukaryota; Metazoa; Chordata; Actinopteri; Pleuronectiformes; Pleuronectidae
Exons: 3
Source: RefSeq, a predicted model, not a curated record